GUCAAGAUGGCCGAGUUGGUCUAAGGCGCCAGUUUCAGGUACUGGUCCGAAAGGGCGCGGGUUCAAAGCCCACUCUUUACA
RNAcentral lists this transfer RNA (81 nucleotides) under Brassica napus (rape). It matches the Rfam family "tRNA". Rfam says of the family: Transfer RNA (tRNA) molecules are approximately 80 nucleotides in length. Their secondary structure includes four short double-helical elements and three loops (D, anti-codon, and T loops). Lineage: Eukaryota; Viridiplantae; Streptophyta; Magnoliopsida; Brassicales; Brassicaceae. The record is from Rfam by way of RNAcentral.